RNAcentral lists this ribosomal RNA (253 nucleotides) under uncultured bacterium. RNAcentral describes it as "partial 16S ribosomal RNA". It matches the Rfam family "Bacterial small subunit ribosomal RNA", at positions 524 to 776 of the family's 1533-position model. The record is from RNAcentral.
UACGAAGGGGGCUAGCGUUGUUCGGAAUCACUGGGCGUAAAGCGCACGUAGGCGGACUUUUAAGUCUGGGGUGAAAGCCUGAGGCUCAACCUCAGAACUGCCCUUGAUACUGGGAGUCUUGAGUAUGGUAGAGGUUGGUGGAACAGCAAGUGUAGAGGUGAAAUUCGUAGAUAUUUGCUAGAACACCAGUGGCGAAGGCGGCCAACUGGACCAUAACUGACGCUGAGGUGCGAAAGCGUGGGGAGCAAACAGG